RNAcentral lists this ribosomal RNA (449 nucleotides) under uncultured Anaerolineaceae bacterium. RNAcentral describes it as "bacterial SSU rRNA". It matches the Rfam family "Bacterial small subunit ribosomal RNA", at positions 917 to 1382 of the family's 1533-position model. The record is from RNAcentral. Lineage: Bacteria; Bacillati; Chloroflexota; Anaerolineae; Anaerolineales; Anaerolineaceae.
GGGCCCGCACAAGCAGCGGAGCGUGUGGUUUAAUUCGAUGCUACACGAAGGACCUUACCAGGGUUUGACAUACAAGUGGUAGAGAAGCGAAAGCGGAUCGACCUUCGGGAGCUUGCACAGGUGCUGCAUGGCUGUCGUCAGCUCGUGUCGUGAGAUGUUCGGUUAAGUCCGCUAACGAGCGCAACCCUCGCCGUAUGUUACAAGUGUCAUACGGGACUGCCGGUAAAAGCCGGAGGAAGGUGAGGAUGAUGUCAAGUCAGCAUGACCUUUAUAUCCAGGGCUACACACACGCUACAAUGGUCUGUACAAUUGGUUGCCAAGCCGCGAGGCGGAGCCAAUCCGUAAAGCAGGCCUCAGUUCAGAUUGCAGUCUGCAACUCGACUGCAUGAAGCCGGAGUUGCUAGUAACCGCAGGUCAGCAAUACUGCGGUGAAUACGUUCCCGGGUCUU